AGUCGANCGGCAGCGCGGACUUCGGUCUGGCGGCGAGUGGCGAACGGGUGAGUAAUGUAUCGGAACGUGCCCAGUAGCGGGGGAUAACUACUCGAAAGAGUAGCUAAUACCGCAUACGCCCUACGGGGGAAAGGGGGGGAUCGCAAGACCUCUCACUAUUGGAGCGGCCGAUAUCGGAUUAGCUAGUUGGUGAGGUAAAGGCUCACCAAGGCGACGAUCCGUAGCUGGUUUGAGAGGACGACCAGCCACACUGGGACUGAGACACGGCCCAGACUCCUACGGGAGGCAGCAGUGGGGAAUUUUGGACAAUGGGGGAAACCCUGAUCCAGCCAUUCCGCGUGUGCGAUGAAGGCCUUCGGGUUGUAAAGCACUUUUGGCAGGAAAGAAAUCGCACGGAUUAAUACUCUGUGUGGAUGACGGUACCUGCAGAAUAAGCACCGGCUAACUACGUGCCAGCAGCCGCGGUAAUACGUAGGGUGCAAGCGUUAAUCGGAAUUACUGGGCGUAAAGCGUGCGCAGGCGGUUCGGAAAGAAAGGUGUGAAAUCCCAGGGCUUAACCUUGGAACUGCACUUUUAACUACCGAGCUAGAGUAUGUCAGAGGGGGGUGGAAUUCCGCGUGUAGCAGUGAAAUGCGUAGAUAUGCGGAGGAACACCGAUGGCGAAGGCAGCCCCCUGGGAUAAUACUGACGCUCAUGCACGAAAGCGUGGGGAGCAAACAGGAUUAGAUACCCUGNUAGUCCACGCCCUAAACGAUGUCAACUAGCUGUUGGGGCCUUCGGGCCUUAGUAGCGCAGCUAACGCGUGAAGUUGACCGCCUGGGGAGUACGGUCGCAAGAUUAAAACUCAAAGGAAUUGACGGGGACCCGCACAAGCGGUGGNUGAUGUGGAUUAAUUCNAUGCAACGCGAAAACCUUACCUACCCUUGACNUGUCUGGAAUCCCGAAGAGAUUUGGGAGUGCUCGNANA
This 967-nucleotide ribosomal RNA is filed under the name uncultured bacterium. RNAcentral's name for it is "bacterial SSU rRNA". It matches the Rfam family "Bacterial small subunit ribosomal RNA", at positions 60 to 1023 of the family's 1533-position model. The record is from RNAcentral.